This 345-nucleotide unclassified non-coding RNA is filed under the name soil metagenome. RNAcentral's name for it is "partial contains 5.8S ribosomal RNA, internal transcribed spacer 2, and large subunit ribosomal RNA". The stretch from base 1 to 119 matches the Rfam family "5.8S ribosomal RNA", at positions 35 to 154 of the family's 154-position model. The record is from RNAcentral.
GAUGAAGAACGUAGCGAAAUGCGAUACGUAAUGUGAAUUGCAAAUUCAGUGAAUCAUCGAGUCUUUGAACGCACAUUGCGCCCCCUGGUAUUCCGGGGGGCAUGUCUGUCCGAGCGUCAUUGCUGCCCUCAAGCACGGCUUGUGUGUUGGGCCCCGUCCUCCGAUCCCGGGGGACGGGCCCGAAAGGCAGCGGCGGCACCGCCUCCGGUCCUCGAGCGUAUGGGGCUUUGUCACCCGCUCUGUAGGCCCGGCCGGCGCUUGCCGAUCAACCCAAAUUUUUAUCCAGGUUGACCUCGGAUCAGGUAGGGAUACCCGCUGAACUUAAGCAUAUCAAUAAGCGGAGGA